RNAcentral lists this ribosomal RNA (350 nucleotides) under uncultured eukaryote. Its description in RNAcentral is "SSU rRNA". It matches the Rfam family "Eukaryotic small subunit ribosomal RNA", at positions 567 to 899 of the family's 1831-position model. The record is from RNAcentral.
CCAGCAGCUGCGGUAAUUCCAGCUCCAAGAGUGUAUAUUAAAGUUGUUGCGGUUAAAAAGCUCGUAGUUGGACCUUGAGAUUGAGCAUAACGGUCCUCCUCGGUUCGCUGAGGGGAUCAAGGCCGAGUGUUUCUCUCUCUAUUCUAUAAAACGUUAACGGGGGUCUUGGUUUCGAUCGGGAUUCUCGGUUUUGUGGGAUUUACUUUGAAAAAAUUAGGGUGUUCAAAGCAGGCUCAAUGGGCCUUGAAUACAUUAGCAUGGGAUAAUGAAAGAUGACCUUCGGUCUAAACUUUAUUGGUUUCUAAGGCCAAGGUAAUGAUUGAUAGGGACAGUUGGGGUCGCUCGUAUUC